UUUAUGGAGAGUUUGAUCCUGGCUCAGGAUGAACGCUGGCGGCGUGCCUAAUACAUGCAAGUCGAGCGAACAGACAAGGAGCUUGCUCCUUUGACGUUAGCGGCGGACGGGUGAGUAACACGUGGGUAACCUACCUAUAAGACUGGGAUAACUUCGGGAAACCGGAGCUAAUACUGGAUAAUAUUUCGAACCGCAUGGUUCGAUAGUGAAAGAUGGUUUUGCUAUCACUUAUAGAUGGACCCGCGCCGUAUUAGCUAGUUGGUAAGGUAACGGCUUACCAAGGCGACGAUACGU
Molecule: ribosomal RNA, 294 nt
Filed under: Staphylococcus haemolyticus
Lineage: Bacteria; Bacillati; Bacillota; Bacilli; Caryophanales; Staphylococcaceae
Description: partial 16S ribosomal RNA
Rfam family: Bacterial small subunit ribosomal RNA
Source: RNAcentral